AAAACCCACAGAAGAACUCAUAUAAUAACAUAAAUCCAAUCAUCUCAUCAAGUUGAAAGUACUUAAUCAAAAUAACAUAAUCCAAAAUUAACUCAAAACAAAUAACACGCCUUGUUCCCGAUGUUACAGAUCAGAGCAUAUAAACCUACUAAAUAGCGACAAAAGAAAACAUAAAUGAAGAAAAGCUCCAAGGCCAUCUUCCA
This 203-nucleotide long non-coding RNA is filed under the name Lathyrus oleraceus (garden pea). Its description in RNAcentral is "Pisum sativum (pea) long non-coding RNA (PSAT_LNC028760)". The record is from RNAcentral. Lineage: Eukaryota; Viridiplantae; Streptophyta; Magnoliopsida; Fabales; Fabaceae.